Molecule: ribosomal RNA, 400 nt
Filed under: Pseudogulbenkiania sp. NS24EB
Lineage: Bacteria; Pseudomonadati; Pseudomonadota; Betaproteobacteria; Neisseriales; Chromobacteriaceae
Description: bacterial SSU rRNA
Rfam family: Bacterial small subunit ribosomal RNA
Source: RNAcentral
GGCUUCGGCCCGCUGACGAGUGGCGAACGGGUGAGUAAUGCGUCGGAACGCACCGAGUAAUGGGGGAUAACGCAGCGAAAGCUGUGCUAAUACCGCAUACGCUCCGAGGAGGAAAGCAGGGGAUCGUAAGACCUUGCGUUAUUCGAGCGGCCGACGUCUGAUUAGCUAGUUGGUGGGGUAAAGGCCCACCAAGGCUUCGAUCAGUAGCGGGUCUGAGAGGAUGAUCCGCCACACUGGGACUGAGACACGGCCCAGACUCCUACGGGAGGCAGCAGUGGGGAAUUUUGGACAAUGGGCGCAAGCCUGAUCCAGCCAUGCCGCGUGUCUGAAGAAGGCCUUCGGGUUGUAAAGGACUUUUGUCCGGGAGCAAAUGCCGGUGGCUAAUAUCCACUGGAGCUGA